GCGUUCUGUAAGCCUGUGAAGGUGUGUCGUGAGGCAUGCUGGAGGUAUCAGAAGUGCGAAUGCUGACAUAAGUAACGAUAAAGCGGGUGAAAAGCCCGCUCGCCGGAAGACCAAGGGUUCCUGUCCAACGUUAAUCGGGGCAGGGUGAGUCGACCCCUAAGGCGAGGCCGAAAGGCGUAGUCGAUGGGAAACGGGUUAAUAUUCCCGUACUUGGUGUUACUGCGAAGGGGGGACGGAGAAGGCUAUGUUGGCCGGGCGACGGUUGUCCCGGUUUAAGCGUGUAGGUGUGUGUUCCAGGUAAAUCCGGUU
Molecule: ribosomal RNA, 309 nt
Filed under: Salmonella enterica subsp. enterica serovar 4,[5],12:i:-
Lineage: Bacteria; Pseudomonadati; Pseudomonadota; Gammaproteobacteria; Enterobacterales; Enterobacteriaceae
Description: partial 23S ribosomal RNA
Rfam family: Bacterial large subunit ribosomal RNA
Source: RNAcentral